RNAcentral lists this ribosomal RNA (496 nucleotides) under uncultured bacterium. RNAcentral describes it as "partial 16S ribosomal RNA". It matches the Rfam family "Bacterial small subunit ribosomal RNA", at positions 29 to 507 of the family's 1533-position model. The record is from RNAcentral.
AUGCACGCUGGCGGCGUGCCUAAUCCCUGCAAGUCGAGCGAACAGAUGAGGAGCUUGCUCCUCUGACGUUAGCGGCGGACGGGUGAGUAACACGUGGAUAACCUACCUAUAAGACUGGGAUAACUUCGGGAAACCGGAGCUAAUACCGGAUAAUAUAUUGAACCGCAUGGUUCAAUAGUGAAAGACGGUUUUGCUGUCACUUAUAGAUGGAUCCGCGCCGCAUUAGCUAGUUGGUAAGGUAACGGCUUACCAAGGCAACGAUGCGUAGCCGACCUGAGAGGGUGAUCGGCCACACUGGAACUGAGACACGGUCCAGACUCCUACGGGAGGCAGCAGUAGGGAAUCUUCCGCAAUGGGCGAAAGCCUGACGGAGCAACGCCGCGUGAGUGAUGAAGGUCUUCGGAUCGUAAAACUCUGUUAUUAGGGAAGAACAAAUGUGUAAGUAACUAUGCACGUCUUGACGGUACCUAAUCAGAAAGCCACGGCUAACUACGUG